Molecule: ribosomal RNA, 374 nt
Filed under: uncultured bacterium
Lineage: Bacteria
Description: bacterial SSU rRNA
Rfam family: Bacterial small subunit ribosomal RNA
Source: RNAcentral
GACGAACGCUGGCGGCGUGCUUAACACAUGCAAGUCGAGCGGUAAGGCCCUUUCGGGGUACACGAGCGGCGAACGGGUGAGUAACACGUGGGUGACCUGCCCUCAGCUCUGGGAUAAGCCUGGGAAACCGGGUCUAAUACUGGAUAUGACUCCAUGACGCAUGUUGUGGGGUGGAAAGCCUUGUGCGGCUGAGGAUGGGCCCGCGGCCUAUCAGCUUGUUGGUGGGGNGAUGGCCGUACCAAGGCGACGACGGGUAGCCGGCCUGAGAGGGCGACCGGCCACACUGGGACUGAGACACGGCCCAGACUCCUACGGGAGGCAGCAGUGGGAAUCUUGCGCAAUGGGCGAAAGCCUGACGCAGCGACGCCGCGUGA